UGCGCAGGCGGAACGAUUAGUCAGUGGUGAAAUCCUACGGCUCAACUGUAGAAUUGCCAUUGAAACUGUCGCUCUUGAGUAUAGUUGAAGUGGGCGGAAUGUGUCAUGUAGCGGUGAAAUGCAUAGAGAUGACACAGAACACCAAUCGCGAAGGCAGCUCACUAAACUAUAACUGACGCUCAGGCACGAAAGCGUGGGUAGCGAACAGGAUUAGAUACCCUGGUAGUCCC
RNAcentral lists this ribosomal RNA (230 nucleotides) under uncultured bacterium. RNAcentral describes it as "partial 16S ribosomal RNA". It matches the Rfam family "Bacterial small subunit ribosomal RNA", at positions 568 to 797 of the family's 1533-position model. The record is from RNAcentral.